CUUAUAGUUCAAAUGCAUCUUUAUUUACAUUAAAAAUACCUCUCAUUAACUGCCUCACAUUAGCAACGAGGGAAAGUAUGUUGUACAUAAUAAAAGCACGGCUUUUCAAGAGAUGGUUCCACACAAUCAGCUCCCGAAGAGACAAGGAGAAUAAUUAAUGCAAUAUCUGAAAAACACCUUCACUUCUGUAGUGAGUUCUUCCACUGAAACAGGUGCCUUCAGUUUCUUCUCAACUACAUUAAGAGGGCUAAGAGAACAGAGGUCUCAGCCAGUAGAGGGCAGCAACAGCUGUGCCUUUACACCACAGUUGCUGGCUGAAGAGUGCUAAGUUUGCAGUUCAGCUUCAGGACACUGAGAAACAUUUUAAUACUGUUAGUGACUAUUACAAAAUCUAUUUAUGUUUCUAAUUUAGUAGUGAAGAGACAAAUUUCAGAUAUCAUCAUGGCUGCUUUUUGCAGUGUGUCAUGAAACCCAUAAGAUGGAAAAGACCUCACGCAGUUCUGAGAAAUGCUCAAGACACGAUUCAAACUAACAACAUUAUAGAGCCUCUCUAGAAUAAAGACCAUACUAUACUUUAAUUCAGCAUCCCUCCUAAUACUUUUCAUUAAAUUUAACAUUAACUUUACCUUAAAGAUUAUGUCAUUCCACCCCCCUCCUGUAGGACUGCAUCCAACCUGGCCUUGAACACCUCCAAGGGUGGAGUGUCCAUAACUUCUUUGGGCAACCUGUUCAGGUGCCUCACCACCCUCUGAAUAAAACAAUUCUUCCAAACAUCUAACCUAAAAUUUCCCUUCUUUUAGCUUAAAGCUAUUUCCCCUUGUCCUAUCACUAUUAGGCCACGUAAAGAGUCAAUCCCCCUCCUGCUAAUAAGUUCCCUUCAAGUACUGGAAGGCCACAAUCAGGUCCUUCCUGUAACCUUCUGUUCCCCAAGCUGAGCAAGCCCAGCUCCCUCAGCUUUUCUUCAUCAGAGAGGUGCUCCAGCCCUUUGAUAUUCUUUGUGGCCUUCUCUGGACCUGCUCCAAUACCUCUGCAUUAUUCUAAUGCUGGGGGCCCCAGGCCUGGAUGCAGUACUCCAGAUGGAGCCUUACAAGGCAGAGUAGAGUGGAACAAUCACCUCAGUUUCCCUGGCAGCUACCUCUCUUUUAAUGCAGCCCAGGAAGCAGUUGGUCUUCUGGGCUGCAAGUGUUCACUGCUGG
Molecule: long non-coding RNA, 1196 nt
Filed under: Gallus gallus (chicken)
Lineage: Eukaryota; Metazoa; Chordata; Aves; Galliformes; Phasianidae
Description: lncRNA (ENSGALG00010025779.1)
Source: RNAcentral